Molecule: ribosomal RNA, 803 nt
Filed under: uncultured archaeon
Lineage: Archaea
Description: bacterial SSU rRNA
Rfam family: Bacterial small subunit ribosomal RNA
Source: RNAcentral
ACUGCUCAGUAACACGUAAGUGACCUACCCUCGAGUGGGGAAUAACUGCUCGAAAGAGUGGCUAAUACCGCAUAGGCUCGGUGCUUCGGUGGACCGAGUAAAGUCGUAAGACGCUUGAGGAUGGGCUUGCGGCCGAUUAGCUAGUUGGUGGGGUAAAGGCCUACCAAGGCGAUGAUCGGUAGCUGGUCUGAGAGGAUGAUCAGCCAGACUGGGACUGCGACACGGCCCAGACUCCUACGGGAGGCAGCAGUUAGGAAUUUUGCGCAAUGGCCGAAAGGCUGACGCAGCAACGCCGCGUGAGGGACGAAGGCUUUCGGGUCGUAAACCUCUUUUGCACGGGAAGAUGGUGACGGUACCGUGCGAAUAAGCCCCGGCUAACUACGUGCCAGCAGCCGCGGUAAUACGUAGGGGGCGAGCGUUGUCCGGAUUUAUUGGGCGUAAAGAGCGCGUAGGUGGCUUAUCAAGUCGUGCGUGAAAUACCUCGGCUCAACUGGGGUGGGUCGUGCGAUACUGGUAGGCUUGAGGCCGGAAGGGGGAAGUGGAAUUCCCGGUGUAGUGGUGGAAUGCGUAGAUAUCGGGAGGAACACCAGUGGCGAAGGCGGCUUCCUGGUCCGGUCCUGACACUGAGGCGCGAAAGCGUGGGGAGCGAACUGAAUUAGAUACUCAGGUAGUCCACGCUGUAAACAAUGGGUGCUAGGUGUCGGGGGUAUCGACCCCCCCGGUGCCGCAGCUAACGCAUUAAGCACCCCGCCUGGGGAGUACGGCCGCAAGGCUAAAACUCAAAGGAAUUGGCGGGGGAGCAC